AUAAUGGGUCAGCGACUUAUAUUCUGUAGCAAGGUUAACCGAAUAGGGGAGCCGGAGGGAAACCGAGUCUUAACUGGGCGUUAAGUUGCAGGGUAUAGACCCGAAACCCGGUGAUCUAGCCAUGGGCAGGUUGAAGGUUGGGUAACACUAACUGGAGGACCGAACCGACUAAUGUUGAAAAAUUAGCGGAUGACUUGUGGCUGGGGGUGAAAGGCCAAUCAAACCGGGAGAUAGCUGGUUCUCCCCGAAAGCUAUUUAGGUAGCGCCUCGUGAAUUCAUCUCCGGGGGUAGAGCACUGUUUCGGCAAGGGGGUCAUCCCGACUUACCAACCCGAUGCAAACUGCGAAUACCGGAGAAUGUUAUCACGGGAGACACACGGCGGGUGCUAACGUCCGUCGUGAAGAGGGAAACAACCCAGACCGCCAGCUAAGGUCCCAAAGUCAUGGUUAAGUGGGAAACGAUGUGGGAAGGCCCAGACAGCCAGGAUGUUGGCUUAGAAGCAGCCAUCAUUUAAAGAAAGCGUAAUAGCUCACUGGUCGAGUCGGCCUGCGCGGAAGAUGUAACGGGGCUAAACCAUG
RNAcentral lists this ribosomal RNA (578 nucleotides) under Escherichia albertii. RNAcentral describes it as "partial 23S ribosomal RNA". It matches the Rfam family "Bacterial large subunit ribosomal RNA", at positions 612 to 1191 of the family's 2925-position model. Lineage: Bacteria; Pseudomonadati; Pseudomonadota; Gammaproteobacteria; Enterobacterales; Enterobacteriaceae. The record is from RNAcentral.